This 1345-nucleotide ribosomal RNA is filed under the name uncultured bacterium. RNAcentral's name for it is "bacterial SSU rRNA". It matches the Rfam family "Bacterial small subunit ribosomal RNA", at positions 28 to 1381 of the family's 1533-position model. The record is from RNAcentral.
GACGAACGCUGGCGGCGUGUUUACACAUGCAAGUCGAACGGAAAGGCCCUGCUUUUGUGGGGUGCUCGAGUGGCGAACGGGUGAGUAACACGUGAGUAACCUGCCCUUGACUUUGGGAUAACUUCAGGAAACUGGGGCUAAUACCGGAUAGGAGCUCCUGCUGCAUGGUGGGGGUUGGAAAGUUUCGGCGGUUGGGGAUGGACUCGCGGCUUAUCAGCUUGUUGGUGGGGUAGUGGCUUACCAAGGCUUUGACGGGUAGCCGGCCUGAGAGGGUGACCGGCCACAUUGGGACUGAGAUACGGCCCAGACUCCUACGGGAGGCAGCAGUGGGGAAUAUUGCACAAUGGGCGGAAGCCUGAUGCAGCAACGCCGCGUGCGGGAUGACGGCCUUCGGGUUGUAAACCGCUUUCGCCUGUGACGAAGCGUGAGUGACGGUAAUGGGUAAAGAAGCACCGGCUAACUACGUGCCAGCAGCCGCGGUGAUACGUAGGGUGCGAGCGUUGUCCGGAUUUAUUGGGCGUAAAGGGCUCGUAGGUGGUUGAUCGCGUCGGAAGUGUAAUCUUGGGGCUUAACCCUGAGCGUGCUUUCGAUACGGGUUGACUUGAGGAAGGUAGGGGAGAAUGGAAUUCCUGGUGGAGCGGUGGAAUGCGCAGAUAUCAGGAGGAACACCAGUGGCGAAGGCGGUUCUCUGGGCCUUUCCUGACGCUGAGGAGCGAAAGCGUGGGGAGCGAACAGGCUUAGAUACCCUGGUAGUCCACGCUGUAAACGGUGGGUACUAGGUGUGGGGUCCAUUCCACGGGUUCCGUGCCGUAGCUAACGCUUUAAGUACCCCGCCUGGGGAGUACGGCCGCAAGGCUAAAACUCAAAGGAAUUGACGGGGCCCCGCACAAGCGGCGGAGCAUGCGGAUUAAUUCGAUGCAACGCGUAGAACCUUACCUGGGUUUGACAUGGAUCGGGAGCGCUCAGAGAUGGGUGUGCCUCUUUUGGGGUCGGUUCACAGGUGGUGCAUGGCUGUCGUCAGCUCGUGUCGUGAGAUGUUGGGUUAAGUCCCGCAACGAGCGCAACCCUUGUUCACUGUUGCCAGCACGUUAUGGUGGGGACUCAGUGGAGACCGCCGGGGUCAACUCGGAGGAAGGUGAGGAUGACGUCAAGUCAUCAUGCCCCUUAUGUCCAGGGCUUCACGCAUGCUACAAUGGCUGGUACAGAGAGUGGCGAGCCUGUGAGGGUGAGCGAAUCUCGGAAAGCCGGUCUCAGUUCGGAUUGGGGUCUGCAACUCGACCUCAUGAAGUCGGAGUCGCUAGUAAUCGCAGAUCAGCAACGCUGCGGUGAAUACGUUCCCGGGGCU